CCGGCGCACGGGUGCGUAACGCGUAUGCAACCUACCUUUAACAGGGGAGUAACACUGAGAAAUUGGUACUAAUACCCCAUAAUAUCAUAGAAGGCAUCUUUUAUGGUUGAAAAUUCCGAUGGUUAGAGAUGGGCAUGCGUUGUAUUAGCUAGUUGGUGGGGUAACGGCUCACCAAGGCUCCGAUCGGUAUCCGGCCUGAGAGGGCGGACGGACACACUGGGACUGAGACACGGCCCAG
This 238-nucleotide ribosomal RNA is filed under the name uncultured bacterium. RNAcentral describes it as "partial 16S ribosomal RNA". It matches the Rfam family "Bacterial small subunit ribosomal RNA", at positions 95 to 334 of the family's 1533-position model. The record is from RNAcentral.